RNAcentral lists this ribosomal RNA (292 nucleotides) under uncultured bacterium. Its description in RNAcentral is "partial 16S ribosomal RNA". It matches the Rfam family "Bacterial small subunit ribosomal RNA", at positions 505 to 796 of the family's 1533-position model. The record is from RNAcentral.
GUGUCAGCAGCCGCGGUAAGACGAACCGUGCGAACGUUGUUCGGAUUCACUGGGCUUAAAGGGCGCGUAGGCGGGUCAGCAAGUCCGGGGUGAAAGCUUUCGGCUCAACCGGAAAAGGGCCUUGGAUACUGCUGGUCUGGAGGAAGGUAGGGGCGUGUGGAACUUCCGGUGGAGCGGUGAAAUGCGUAGAUAUCGGAAGGAACGCCGGUGGCGAAAGCGACACGCUGGACCUUUUCUGACGCUGAGGCGCGAAAGCCAGGGGAGCAAACGGGAUUAGAUACCCCGGUAGUCC